UGCCUACGGGACGCAGCAGUAGGGAAUCUUCCACAAUGGACGAAAGUCUGAUGGAGCAACGCCGCGUGAGUGAAGAAGGGUUUCGGCUCGUAAAGCUCUGUUGGUAGUGAAGAAGGAUAGAGGUAGUAACUGGCCUUUAUUUGACGGUAAUUACUUAGAAAGUCACGGCUAACUACGUGCCAGCAGCCGCGGUAAUACGUAGGUGGCAAACGUUGUCCGGAUUUAUUGGGCGUAAAGCGAGUGCAGGAGGGUUCA
Molecule: ribosomal RNA, 255 nt
Filed under: uncultured bacterium
Lineage: Bacteria
Description: partial 16S ribosomal RNA
Rfam family: Bacterial small subunit ribosomal RNA
Source: RNAcentral